UUCAAUCCUUUGUUGGAGGGCACCUCAAUUGUUGGAGUGUAGAUCUGUCAUUUAACUGUUAGAGGGGGUAAUUCGGUUCAAUCCAGUCGGGGUGCAAUCCAACAGAUUAAAAAAAUAAAAAAGCAAUACAAAAAGAGAAAUUAAAUUAAAAAUCCAAAACGCCAAAAGAUUUUAGACUCUCGCUGGAGUAUACCAUCCAUUUCCUCCCUCCGAUAGUACGCAAGAUAGGAGUGAUUUUCUAAGACCCAAGAUUUUGGAGAUGUAACCUCCUCAACCCAUAGACUAACUUCAACCAAAAUUUUUUCCGAAUUGAGCUCUCUAUAUACUAGGAAAAACAUAAUGUCUCAAGAUUGAACAUAAAUUAUCCAAUUUUUGAGGGGCGAGAUCUAAGAGUCAAAAAACUCAAAAUUCAAAAAAAAUUUCUUUUGAGAAUAAUCAUCGAUUCUCAGCAGUUCCCAAAAUUAAGGCCGAAAAAGUCCUCCCAAGUAAGUCUUUUUAUUGAGGAAGUGAAUGUGAAAACACAAGUAAGCUCCCAUGGAGGCAUAGUAAACAUGCUCAUGCAAAAAAUGGAAAAGAACCCUCUUCUCCUGAAGUUGUGAGUGGUAUCAGGGAGGUUUUUAUUGUGAGUCGUAGUGCCAAGACUUUGGAUAGGAAAGGCAGAAAAGAGUCAUCUUCUUUUGAAGUUGUGAGUGGUACCGGGGAGGUUUUUAUUUGUAUCUCUUAUGGGCAAUUGAGAAUGGACUUGAGGUAUACAACAUUUUAAUAGCAUCAAUUGCUGCCCUCUCAAGUCCAAUGUGAACCCCUUCUUUAUUUUGAGUGGCAUCAGGUGGUACAUUAUUGGAACCUAUGUAGCAUAGAAACAAAUACAUUUAUCUAUUUGUGACUCAAAAACACUAGCUUAAAAAAAUCUGCAUUUAUAUAUACAACAAUUCAC
RNAcentral lists this long non-coding RNA (934 nucleotides) under Amborella trichopoda. RNAcentral describes it as "long non-coding RNA (ATRI_LNC002286)". Lineage: Eukaryota; Viridiplantae; Streptophyta; Magnoliopsida; Amborellales; Amborellaceae. The record is from RNAcentral.